RNAcentral lists this ribosomal RNA (115 nucleotides) under Esox lucius (northern pike). Lineage: Eukaryota; Metazoa; Chordata; Actinopteri; Esociformes; Esocidae. The record is from RNAcentral.
GCUUACGGCCACACUCCCUGAGCACGCCGAUCUCGUCUGAUCUCGGAAGCUAAGCAGGGUCGGGCUCCGGUAUACUUGGUGGGAGACCGCCUGGGAAUACCAGGUGCUGUAAGCC